CGUAGGGUGCGAGCGUUAAUCGGAAUUACUGGGCGUAAAGCGUGCGCAGGCGGCGCCGCAAGUCAGGCGUGAAAUCCCCGAGCUUAACUUGGGAAUGGCGCUUGAAACUACGGUGCUGGAGUGUGGCAGAGGGAGGUGGAAUUCCACGUGUAGCGGUGAAAUGCGUAGAGAUGUGGAGGAACACCGAUGGCGAAGGCAGCCUCCUGGGCCAACACUGACGCUCAUGCACGAAAGCGUGGGGAGCAAACAGGAUUAGAUACCCUGGUAGUCCACGCCCUAAACGAUGAUGACUAGUUGUUGGGGGAGUUAAAUCCCUUAGUAACGCAGCUAACGCGUGAAGUCAUCCGCCUGGGGAGUACGGUCGCAAGAUUA
RNAcentral lists this ribosomal RNA (372 nucleotides) under uncultured organism. RNAcentral describes it as "bacterial SSU rRNA". It matches the Rfam family "Bacterial small subunit ribosomal RNA", at positions 526 to 896 of the family's 1533-position model. The record is from RNAcentral.